AGCAGCCUAGGUAUCCAUCAAUUGAUGGAUGAAGAAAGAAAAUAUGCAUAUAUGCACUAAGUAGUGCUACUCAUCCAUGAAGGAUCCUUAACUCCUUCCAUUUGCAGCAAAGUGAGUGAGACUGGAGGACAUAAUGUUAAGUGAAACAAGCCAGACCCAGAAAAAAAGGCACACUAAGGAUUAUCCGGAACCAUCUUCAAAGCAACUGGAGGAACUCCACUCAUGUGUAACAAGAACCAUCCAAAAUUCCAGUGUAAACCUUCUAAGGAUUCCCAAUAAUGAUAUUGGCUCAAGAUUUGUAGUUAAGAAUGGCAAACCCAUCAAGAGCAGGCAUGUACCUACUGAAAUAACAAACUACAC
Molecule: long non-coding RNA, 360 nt
Filed under: Cricetulus griseus (Chinese hamster)
Lineage: Eukaryota; Metazoa; Chordata; Mammalia; Rodentia; Cricetidae
Description: lncRNA (ENSCGRG00000025079.1)
Source: RNAcentral